UAAGCUGACUCAAUUAGAGCCAGAAGAGCAGCGGUGAGAUUCAGAGAGGAGGAGAGGCUAAGGCUAAGACAGAAAAAAGAAAACUUUUUAGUAUGUUUUGGUUUUAUCUGGUGCUUUAUUUUCUUCCCCUUGCUGGUUCUGCAGCACACUAACAAGGAGGUGACAAGAGCCGUACUUCGGACAAAGGUCUCAGUCUUUACGCCCUGGGUUGGACUCUCCGGCCUCUCAUCCCUUGCUGUUUGCCAUCUUCCUCUUGUCCGUGUUUUGAGGCUGAAAUGCUGCAAAUGGUUUCAUUUUCAUGAUCCAACGACCACCCGUGAGGUACCGGAUGGACGGCAGAACAGCUGAUCCAUUCUCCUUCCUGCAUAUUUCCUGAAGACUUUUCAUACUGGCAUCCUUGUUCUAAUUCUGCUUCUACCCAAGUCUCAGUUAUCCUUACUCUUUUGGAUGGCAGCUGCCAACUUCACCUGAACUAUCUCGUCUAGAACUCACUGCCCUCAACUAUGUGGUCUUCGUACGUCAGAAGGUCAAUGAUAAGAAAAGUGCAAUAAAGUACCAAGACCAGCGUCUCCCUCCCCAGCCUUCAGCCACACUAACUGUCAUUUCCAAGAUCAGCAAUAAUUAUUCCAGAAGAGCCGCUAUCUUAGUCUUUUGUGCUGCUACAACAAAUUGCCUCCAAUUGGGUAACACAGAAAGAUCAGAAAUUUAUUUUUCACAUUCUGGAGGCUGAUCAUCGAAGGUGCUGACUGUUUAGUGUCUGAUGUGGAACCAUCUCUGACUCUGUUGCUUCAGCCUACAGAGAAGAGGAACACAAUUUCUUUACAUGCGGGAAGGUACAGAGGUAAAAACAAUGAACUCUUUAUGGAGAGCCCUUAAUUUCAUUCCUCAAUUAUCUCCCAACAGUCAUACCUGUGUUAAUAUUCUCAUCUUGUUUCAACAUGAAUUUUAGAGGGAACAAAAGCUGUCAAAUCAUAGCCCCAUGUGAGUCACCCUUGCAUAGACUAUUACCAAAAGCAUUGAAAGAGGUGGGAUAACAUGCAAAUUCCAGAAGUUUCUUAGAUGCUUUCUCACCACAACAAUCUGGUUCAAUGAAACAGAAACAAAACAGACAUCAGAAUACUCUGAACACAUUCAGGGCUUGGGUCAGGCCAAGUGCAAGAAGACAGAGCAGGUGAUCUAUACUCUGUCACGUAGACAAUCUCAGCAGCACAGGCAAUGCUAGAGGGCACUGUGAAUUAAAAGCCAUUUUCCAGCAUAUAUUCUUUAUUUCAAAUCCAUGCUUUCUGUGGUGGAAGAAAUCUUCCACACACUGCUCAGCUGGUCAGCUCUGAAACCCAUGAAAGGCCAAAGAUUACUCCCUGAUAACAGCAAUGGCUUUGUUCCUUGGUGAAAUUGCCACUGUGAAGAGGUACCGAUGUACACAUAGACUUGUUUAGUAAGAGUCCGUUAUCUCUAGUCUCUUUCAAAAUUGCUAGGAAGAAUCCACAGGCCUGGGUUUUUCUUGCUUUUCUUUAAGAUUUUUUUUUCCCCGAUUGUAUAACUGGGAGCAGUGUUCCACAUCUUAGGCCAAUCAUGUAGCUUUAGCAUCCAGGUUAGUUUCAUCUACGAAAUGCGAGGGAGCCUGAGGCAGGGCAUCUACCAGCAGAGCUCUAGAAUUUAAGAGUACGUAGAUCACUAAGGUCAUUUACUAGUGUGCUUAUUUCGCACAACCUCAGCUUUUCCAACUCAAAAAUCAGUGCUGAGAAUUGCUGCUAUGUUGGUCCUCCUCUCACUGAAAUCCUGAAAAUAUGUAAAAAAAGAAGCCCCCACCCUGCAAAAAAGUGAAAGCUGAAACAUGAAUUAAAAUAAAGUUUACAUCAGAUACAGGCUGAUAAAGUUUACAUUAGAUACAGGUACACCGUCAACAUGGAGCCAAACAAGUAAAUUUGGGGUGAUACUUCAUGAGUUUCACAUUAGAGGAGUCUAUAAAGCCUCUGACUAGGUCCCUUUUAUCUAUUUGCAAACUGGGGAGUUGUUAUUCAGCUUUCUGUAGCUGCAGUAAAAUUUAAGGAAAAAGAAGUUAAAGAAAGAAAAGUUUGUUUUUGACUCAUUUUUCAGAGGGGGCACUUCAUAAUCAUUUCGCUUCAUUGCUUCUGGUCCUGUAAUGAGGCAGCACAUCUGGACUCCCACCCUACUGGACGGUGCUAUAUUCACAGCAGUUCACCCACCGCAGUUUGCUGUCCCACAUGCCAAUCAUGUCUGGACACGCCCUGACAGACACAGCCGGAAGUGCACCUUAUUAAUUUCUAAGCAGUUCUCAAUCCAAUUAAGUUGACAAUCAAGAUAAACCAUCACAGGGAGGUUAAACCAAAAACCAAAACCAGGAGUCACAUUCAAAUAUCUACAGCUGAGGAGCAUACAGCUUAAAUGAAUGAAGCAUAAAUGUUAUAAGGAGAACAUUGCACAAUGGAGAAAAAAAUUAAAUAUCUAAUUUUUUUGUUUUUUUCUUUAUUUUAUUAAUUAAUUAAUUAAUUUAUUUAUUUUUUUGAACUGGGGAUCGAAUUCAGGACUGCUUGCAAGGCAGGUGCUUAUGCUGUUGAGCUAAAUCCCUGGUCUCAAUUUAUCUAAUAUUUUCGAAUUCAAUUGUUUAAAAAAAUUGGGGCUGGGGAUUUAGCUCAGUGGCAUAAGCGUCUGCCUUGUAAGCAGGUGGUCAUGAGUUUGAUCCCCGGUACCGAUAAAAAAUAAAGGUUAAAGAAAAAAUUACCUGCACCAAACUAAAGAAAAUUGAAUCAGCAACAUGAGCAACAUGCAACAUGAGCGUGUAGACUCUGUGGCCUAUAAUUUCUAAGAUCCCUUCCAACACAGUAUCUCUGUUCACAAUUUAUACCAAUAUUGCAGAACAGUAACAGGCUCUGGGACCUAAUCUGACUGCAGUCAUCGCUCUGAUUGUGUGUGUGUGUGUGUGUGUGUGUGUGUGUGUGUGUGUGUUUGUGACAACAAAUACGGAUGAGUUGGGGUGGGGAGGAGAGAAAUGAAAUUUUAAUAAAAGCAAGAGAAAUCCAACAAAAAAAGAAUCUCUAAAUUGGAAACUUCUAAUAACAGUAUUCAAAAGAGAUGGGGCACAUUCAGGGUGGUAUGGCCAUAGACUGGUGACGGUAUUACUUGCUAUGAUGAUGCUGUUUAGACAGACAAGAGAAAAACAUCCUAGGCUUCCUUGGUGACCAUAAGAAAACCAAGAAGUACAUUCACAUCAAUCAAUAUUAGGCACCACAUACAACAUGUUCUGAGAUGAUACACAAAUGGAGGUAAUAGUGUGGGAAUCCAGGAAAGCUCUGCAGAAGAAAUAAUCUUCAAAUGGAGCCUUAAAGAAUGAAUGAAUUUUUGACCACAGGCAGGCCAGGUAAGGGGUCCUAGGUGGAAUGAGAAACAUUAUACAAGUGCCAGGAAGAAGAAAGCACAAGAUACAUUGGGAAACACAAAUAGUUCAUUAUUUGGUGGGAGAGCCGAUAUCACCACUUGGAGAAAAUAUCAUGAGAUAAAAAUAUAAGCUGUGUGAGCUCAGACAAUUUACUUUAUUUUUCUGAAAAAUACUUUUCAGAAAAGUAAUAAUGUAUCUAUUUUACAGAAUUUCCAUGAGCUUUAAAAAUGCUACUGUAUAUGAUAGCAAGACUUCAAUAAGUUUACUUUUCUGAUUAGCACAAAUAGCUGAUGUAAUUUCAAUGCAAAAAAAACACCCUUUACUCUUGUCACACACACACACACACAUACACACACACACACACACACACACACACACACACACACACUGUCUUUAAUAUUGUCCAACAUUACUAAUUGGGUAGAGGACGUGGUGGUUCAUGACCCAGCCCUUCCAUUCAAGAUUGAGACCUUCAUUUCCCCAGCUGCUAGAUGCUUUGGCUGUUGAUAACUGUCUUUUGCAGGGAAAUCUAAGAAUUGCCCUCUGCCAAUGGCAAUCUGCUCGUAAAAGUCUAGACUCUCCAAGUCAAUCUGCAUGCAAUGAAGGGUUGAUGAAAAAGUACAAAUUCCCAGCCAUCUUGUUUCAAUUUAGAACAAUUCUGCAGGACCCUCUCAUGCUAAGAGCUCUUUGGAGGCCAGGCUGAGGCCACCGUUGUAUCUGCACCAUAGCUAAAGCACUCCUACCCAUUCCUGCUCCUUUCUCUCCCCUACUGGUGCUGGUCCCUGUGCUCUUCAACAAACUUCUUGAUCAAAUCUCUAGCUCAAUAUGCAUUUCCAAGUAACCCUACCCAAAGCAGUUAUAUUCUGUUAAUUUGCUGCAACAUAAGAACCUCAAUGAUUCACCUUAAAAUUUAUUGACCAGGGCCUAAGGCACAACUACCUUGCCCUGGGCAGAAUCCUACUCUAGAGUAGUGCUUGUGGUGGCCUCAGGGUACUCUAAGUAGUAUUUCUACUAAAGAACUGACAUAGAGGGCAUAUACUCCUUGCCUUGGAGAUUUGAACAAAAAACAAGAUUUGACCAUUCCAUGCCCUCCAAUCUAUAAGAUGCCACCAAACAAAGGCAGAAGAAAACAGUUUUUGUAACACAGAUCACUAAGCAUUUCCUACUCCCUCAGCAUUGUAAGGAGGGAUUUCCUGUACUGAACCUUGUCUUCAUUAGCAUGAAUGCAUACCCCAAAGUAGCUCAACAGAGCAGUAAACCUCAGUGAAAGCACUAGAAUCAAUUGCAUGAAAAUGUUCUUCCACAGGAACUGGGAGGUCACAAUUGGAAGAUGUGGUCUUCUAAUAUAUUAGUAACAGAAAGUGAGAAAGCCUGGAGGAGCAUUUGUUUCCUUCUAGGUGAGAGGCCAGUUAAAGGCUUAGAAAUCUAAUCAGGAGCCCAGGCUGUCUGCUUCAGAGUCCUGGUACCUGGACAUGCUUGGGCUCUUUCUUUGGUGGAAAAGGGCUGGCUGAUGUUAGCCUCACCUUUCCCUACCCCACCGCUAAACAGAAUUAAGAAUGGAUGCUUAAUGCUAGUACACCCAAAACUCAUUUGUGCUGAAAAACUAAAGCUGUAUUUGGCAAGGCUUCUUGAUUUUGCAAACAGAAAAAGACACAUUUACAGGAGUGAGAAUGACUUUCUCACUUACUUUAAAGCACUUUACACUUUGUUGAGAAGUCAGAAGAGAACUUCACUGAAAAUCCGCUAAAACAAUUACUGGGUUAUUAGCAUAGACUUGUAAGAGUUAGCUUUCAAGCUCCCACAAUAAAGAAAGCUCUUUAAUAGACCCUCAGUCCCCCUCAUAAACCUCAGGCAUAAGAAAUUUUAGCAAAAAAUAUCCAAAAGAGACCAAAAGGCAUUCAAAAAAUCACUCAUUAAAAAAUUAUCUUCAUUUCUUAUAGAAGAAAUCAGUAGAAUAGUGGUUACUAGAGAGUAGAACAAGAGGAGAAAUAGUAGAGACAGGGUAACAGAGACCCAAAAUACAGUCACAAAGAAAAGAUAACUGUUUUCUUUCACAACACAGCAAUCAGACUAGAAUUUAGAGUGAUGUCUUAUGUAUUUUAUAAAGUACCACAGGAGAGGAGUUCAAAACCUCCCAACAUAAUGAUAAAUGUUUGAAAAGGUGAAAAUUCUAAUCACUCUGAUUAAACAUUGCAACCACUGACUAAGAGUAUGUUACAGGGGGAGAACAUGGCAGAUAGAUAACAGCAGCUACGGAGGCUCUCUGAGAUAGCCAGCUUAGAUUCCUUCCAGGAAUAGUGUGGUGUGGGGAGUCCUAAACAGGGAAAGAUACAGCCUGCCAACCCAGGAACAAACUAAGCUGAGAGAAACCAACUGGGAAUGCAAUCCCGACUGGAACAGCUGAAGUCUCAGUGCUAAAGCUGGAACCCGUACCUCUGGAAACUGCGGCUUGAAUUUCCUGCCACCACUGCUGCAUCUGAAUUGGCACAGCAGGGAUAGAGACAUGAAAGCUCUGAGAGUGGGAAUCAGCAAACUGAAUUGAGAGCAGAGCUGGUGAGGAGUCGUGCAUCGACCUGUGGUGAGUGAGAGGAACGGGGACACUUCCAUAGACUAGGAAGCUCCAACAGAGACGUUCUGGGACCUGGCAGACUAGCCAGAACAGGAAUUCCCCUCUCAAGCGGGAUUGGUGGAGAGUGCUUGAUCUGGGUGACACCACGGACUAAGAUGCAGUAGGCUAGCCCAAACCAGGUCCCUGCGCCUAGCAGUGCACCCUAAUGCAGUGAAGCCUUCAGCAGGUUGACUGACCUGAAGGGAUGGGCCCAGCAUAGGCUCCCCAGGUCUGUGUCUCCCUAGUACAUUGCAGUGGGCGGGAACACCUACCCAUCGUGAUUCAAACAAACUGUAACCGACAAAGAAAGAAACUGGGCCUCCUAUAUACGCUUGUAUGGAAGGAACAAAACGUAUGGGAAGAGGGAGCAACAAGAAAGGGUCCUCAGUCACCAAUCCUGAGAACACUGAUCCAGGAAAGGUAAAUGCAAAGGAGAAUGAGGACAGAAAACAUGCACUAUCAGGCACGGCACCAAUAGACAUAAAGCAAUAUCUCCAGGACCUCAUAGAUGAGUUCAAAAGUGAAGUAUUUAACCAAGUAAAGCAAGAUAUAAGUAGAAUAGUUAAAGAAAUGCUAAGCACCUCCCAAGAAAACACAAAUGGUGGAAUGGAAGAACAGAAAAAAAGGAAUUGUUUGAUGGAGAAAAUAGAGAAAAUGUAGAAUACAUGAAGCAGGUUCAAAGAGAUUACCAGGAAACUAAAAAUUCUAUUGAAAGCUGGCAUAACAGCUUGAAAGAAACUAAGGAUAGAUUAUCUGAACUGAAGGACAGAUUUGUAAUGUGGGAUCAUAAAAGGAAAAACUUCUUAAAAAUAACAAGGAAACAAGCAGUAACAAUACAAAGGCUAGAAGAUGAUAAGAGGAUCUAUAACUUAAGAAUUAAGAAUGUAAAGGAAGAAGCAGGGAUACAAACAAAUGAACUGCAAAGGCUAUUCACAGAAAUAAUCAAGGAGAACUCCCCAAAUAUGGGAAAAGGUAAAGAUACUCCAAUCUAUGAGGCAUACAGGACCCCAGCCACCUACAACCCAAACAGAACUACACCCAGCCAUAUAAUAAUCAAAAUUCCAGAAAUUCAAUAUAAGAACAGAAUAUUAAAAGCUGUCAGAGAUAAGAAACAGAUCACUUACAAGGGAACACCCAUCAGAAUUACAGCAGACUUCUCGGCACAAACCAUCAAAUCACAAAGAGUGUGGGGUGAAAUAAUUCAAGCUUUGAAAAACAAAAACCUCCAGCCAAGAUCGAUAUGUCCUGCACAACUGUCCCUAGAAAUUAAUGGAGAAACAAGGUGCUUCCAGGAUAAAAAGGAACUAGGGGAAUUUGCAACCACCAAUUCAACUCUACAGAGAAUACUGCAGGACGUUCUAAAAGAGAAAAAUAGCAAGAUUCCAGAAACAGUAGCAGAGAGGCCACAAUGAGUGGAGCACAAAGUGAAAUGAGGCAGACAAACUGACAACUAAUGACCGAAAAAGAGCUCAACAGAAAUGAGGCAGGUUGGAUGGUAGGAACAGCUAUUUUGGAGAAAACAAGACAUCAUAAUAGCUAGUGCUGAUUUAAUAUCAUCUUGUUUUGAAGUCCCAUCAGGCUUUAUUCUUCUCUCUCCAUCGGUCUUAACAUGUUGUAUCUUAUUGGAUUUUGUUAUAUGUAAUAAUAUAAACAAAAACUUUUAUAGACAAGGAGAUAAUACAGAAACCAUUGUUCAUUUUAUGUUAGUUGGUUCUAAAUACCCUGUAAUACUGUCAUUCUCUUGAAUGGAUUUACAUUGUCUUGAUAUGUUUGAUGCUACAGUAUACGAAGUUAUACUCAAAGAUUUCAAGGAAAGAGACACUAUGGUAAUUACUUUUAUGUCAGGAUAUCUUGUGGUGAAAUACUAUUUUGCUUAAAUAAUUAUGUUCUGACCUGUGCUGUUUUGUUAUGUCCUCUUUUAUCUCAAUCUCCUUUUUUAUUAUUUAUUUUUUAUUUUUGUCUUUUUAAUUAAGGGAAAAAAUAAAUUUAAAAAAUAGCAGUAUAUAUUAUAGUAACCCACUUGAUUUCCUAUUAAUUUGAUUUGAAACCCAGUAUUGCUCUCACCAUCUUGUUUUGACUGAUUUUACUGUAUUCUGUUUUGCUUGAUAGUACCAAGUUUGAGAGUAUAGGCAACGAAUGUGAAGAGAAUAAGAUUCAGUAUGAUGCCAAUUCUGAUUUGACUAUUAUCUUCUUUUGAACUCCUGUAAUGUCUCCAGUGUUUUGGUUUUAUUCUUUACUGUUUUCUUCAAUUUUAUUAUAACUGAUGAUAUAGGCAAUUCUUUUUAAGAUAGCAAGAGGCAUUAUGGUAACCAUUGUUGAUUACCUUGUAUUCUAUUUAUACAUUAUGUACUAUGUCCAUCCUUUUGAUUUGACUAACUCUGUUUUGUUAUGUCACAUUUGGUUUUAUUUUCUUCAAAAAAAGUAAUAAGAACUGUGGGAAUAAUAAAACCCAAAAUGUGUAAUUGUCAUUGUAAAAAAGAGAGGAAAAGAAAGUGCUCUAAAGGAUAUAACUACAUGUAUAUUUAAGCAUAUAAGAUAGAUAACCAUAUUACUGAGGGUUUUUUUUUUUUUGGAUCAUUGAACAGAACUGUUUGCAGUCUCACUGUCUGAAUAUCUACUUUAUGUGCUUUAAUUUUGUAACUUGAACAACUACUUCUAAGAUGACAAUAGGUAAUCUAUUAACUAGUGAUUUCCUACUGUUUAUUUUUUUUUGAAAUUCUGUAUAACUUGUACCCUUUUUCUGUUUUUUUCUUUUUCUCCUUAAAUAAAAUUUUUAAAAAAGAGUA
Cavia porcellus (domestic guinea pig) is the source of this 8791-nucleotide long non-coding RNA. RefSeq lists it as uncharacterized. Lineage: Eukaryota; Metazoa; Chordata; Mammalia; Rodentia; Caviidae. The record is from RefSeq and is a predicted model, not a curated record. The transcript has 3 exons.